RNAcentral lists this ribosomal RNA (486 nucleotides) under uncultured bacterium. Its description in RNAcentral is "bacterial SSU rRNA". It matches the Rfam family "Bacterial small subunit ribosomal RNA", at positions 21 to 507 of the family's 1533-position model. The record is from RNAcentral.
GGCUCAGGAUGAACGCUGGCGGCGUGCUUAACACAUGCAAGUCGAACGAAGCACUUCUGAUUGAUUCUUCGGAAGAUUGAUUAAGUGACUGAGUGGCGGACGGGUGAGUAACGCGUGGGUAACCUGCCUCAUACAGGGGGAUAACAGUUAGAAAUGACUGCUAAUACCGCAUAAGCGCACAGUACCGCAUGGUACGGUGUGAAAAACUCCGGUGGUAUGAGAUGGACCCGCGUCUGAUUAGCUAGUUGGUGGGGUAACGGCCUACCAAGGCGACGAUCAGUAGCCGGCCUGAGAGGGUGAACGGCCACAUUGGGACUGAGACACGGCCCAAACUCCUACGGGAGGCAGCAGUGGGGAAUAUUGCACAAUGGGGGAAACCCUGAUGCAGCGACGCCGCGUGAGUGAUGAAGUAUUUCGGUAUGUAAAGCUCUAUCAGCAGGGAAGAAAAUGACGGUACCUGACUAAGAAGCACCGGCUAAAUACGUG